ACGGAAGGCAGCAGUGGGGAAUAUUGCACAAUGGGGGAAACCCUGAUGCAGCGACGCCGCGUGAAGGAUGAAGUAUUUCGGUAUGUAAACUUCUAUCAGCAGGGAAGAUAGUGACGGUACCUGACUAAGAAGCUCCGGCUAAAUACGUGCCAGCAGCCGCGGUAAUACGUAUGGAGCAAGCGUUAUCCGGAUUUACUGGGUGUAAAGGGUGCGCAGGUGGCAGAGCAAGUCAGAAGUGAAAACCCGGGGCUCAACUCCGUGGAUUGCUUUUGAAACUGUUUUGCUAGAGUCCAGGAGAGGCAAGCGGAAUUCCUAGUGUAGCGGUGAAAUGCGUAGAUAUUAGGAGGAACACCAGUGGCGAAGGCGGCUUGCUGGACUGGAACUGACACUGAGGCACGAAAGCGUGGGGAGCAAACAGGAUUAGAUACCCUGGUA
RNAcentral lists this ribosomal RNA (435 nucleotides) under uncultured bacterium. Its description in RNAcentral is "partial 16S ribosomal RNA". It matches the Rfam family "Bacterial small subunit ribosomal RNA", at positions 341 to 792 of the family's 1533-position model. The record is from RNAcentral.